This is a long non-coding RNA of Dromiciops gliroides (monito del monte), 2597 nucleotides long. RefSeq lists it as uncharacterized. The record is from RefSeq and is a predicted model, not a curated record. The transcript is spliced from 5 exons. Lineage: Eukaryota; Metazoa; Chordata; Mammalia; Microbiotheria; Microbiotheriidae.
UUGAUUAUGUAGAUUUUUUCCCCUCUACUGCAGUUUCAUAUGCAAAGCAUGCAUCAGCCACAUCCAUGCUAUCUCCUAAAGCAGUCAUUCUGAAACCCAAUCUGGGGACAGUGCAGACUAAAUAAAAUUUCAUUUUGAUUUGGCCUCCUGCUGCGAAUGGGACUGCUUUGUUUCAGCCGACAGAAUCAGCAAGCCAGAAAGGUUUCUUGAUGAUGGAAGUGUGAGCACUCGGAAUAGCCCUGAUCCAGGGUAGCUGCUGUCACCGUGGCUCUGGCAUCUCCGAACGACAGGAAAGAGGAAGAGUUGUGCCAAAGCUCAUAGAAUAGCAGUCAGAGCCAAGAGGAACUCAAGAGAUGAAAUAUUGUCAACAAGAUCAGGCGGAGGUCAUCAUCACAGAGACCCAAUCACGAUCUAGAAGAGCAAAGGGUAGAACAGAUAUACCCAUGAACUGUGAAAACGGGGAUGAAGUGAGAAGAGGAAACAGGAGGAAAGACAAGAAGAGAGAAGCAGUAUGAAAAGGUUUUCUCAAAAGUAGGGGCAAUAUCUAUAUAGCAGAAGAUGGUGUUAAAAUAAGGCAAGAAAUUAACCUGGCUCCAUGUGACUCAACAACAGUUUAUCAGAAGGCUGGAAAACUUCCUCCAAACAAAUUUUAAGCAGAAGCGAAGAAUUAAGGCAAUGAUAGUACCAAAAGAAUUCAGUGUUUCCACAACUCUUUUCACUCUCCCCAAUAACAAGAAAUGUGUACCUUUUGUACUUGAUUAUUUGUAUAUUCCUGGGGGGGAAAUAAGUGGAAUGGUUAGUUUUCCUCUUAAAAAGUCAUUAUAAUCAACUUAUUAUAUUCAACUUGACAAUUAUAAGUAAUACAUAUAAAAGCAAUAACAAAAGAAAAGAAACAACAAAAAUGAAUACAAGCACAAUUAAAGUGACUGAGAAUGCAACUAUAGACCUGGUAAACUGGAUUUUUAAAAAUAUGAGUGUGCGUACUCAUUUAUUACUUUGAAAAAAUAUAGCAACAAGAUUAAAUUGUAUGAUUUAUUUCUGUCACCUUACAAAUUUCUUUUUUGUAUAAAUGUAAAAUUUAGGGGGUAUUAUUAUAUUUGCUUUUAUUUACAUAGUUGUGGUUGAUAGAUUUGCAUCUCCUUGGCUCAUUUUACACUAUCUCUUUAUGUCUUCCUUUAUUUCUAUUUUUCAUAUUAUUUUUAUGGUACAAUAAUAUUCUAUUAAAUUCAUAGACCAUCAUUUUUCAGCUAUUUAUUUCCUAAAUGUUAGACUUAUAGUUAGUUUCUAUUACUUAUUUUCUAUUUUUAAAAAGUGAGGGCAAAUUGGUGCAAUGGAAUGUUCCCUAUGCCUCAAUUCCUCAUCUAUAAAAUAAUGGAACAAGACUAUAGGAUCGCUAAGGUCUCUUGAAGCUCUAAAUCCAGGAUCUUACUAGGAAAAUUUUUUUGUCUGCAAUUAAGUCUUUUUGUUUUCUAGUCAAUUACUGUCUUAGGGUAUAGUCCUAGUAAUAAGAUCACUGGGUCAAAGAUGAUUAAUAUAUUUGUAAUUAUUCUUGUAUGAUUCCAAAUUAUUAUCAUAAAAAGAUUUAAACAAUUCAAAAACCAUUAGUGGUAUAAAUGUAUCUCUUUUCAUUAACCUUGCCAACUUUGAAUUUUGUCAUGUUUUUUAUCUUCGCCAUUUUGAUAGGUUGCAAGUUAUUAUUUCAGAGUUAUUUUAAUGUACAUUUCCCUAAUAAGUAGAAAUGUGGAAUGUUUUUCUCAUACAGUUGGCGAUAAUUAUGAAUCUUGCUUUUUGUCUGCUUGUGUGCUUUGACCACUUAGCUAUUGGAGAAUUUAUUCAUAAACUUGCAUCGAUUUCUUAUAUAUUGAUAAUGUUUGAAUCAAGCAUCAGGUGGUUGAUUUAAAACAUUGUCUUCUUAUUCUGGAGAUUUGGGGUUUUGAUGUGUAAAAGCUAUAUACAUAUAUGUAUAGAUAUUUUCAUCUAUAUAGUAUAUAAUUUAAGUCCUUUAAUGUUUUAAAAAUAGUUUCUCCUAAUCACAAAUGGCUAAGAAUUUGUUCCCCUUUUUACAGUUUGGAAAGAUACCUGUACUCUUUUUAUAAAGUGAUUUUUAAAAUAUAUUUAGAUCACUGAUUUUAUUGUAUAUUGUGAUCACUGAGUUUAUUGUUAUGUGAUAUGUGUAUGAAAUUUGUAUCUACUUAUAUUUUAUAACCAACUGCUAGGCAGUUUUCCCAGUUUUUGUUGAAUAAAGAAUUCCUUCCUCACUUGUGCAACCUUAAGUAUACAUUUGGUUCUAUAUGACAACUAAAAGUUUUUAUCAAGAGUCGUGAAGAACAUUAUUAGCAUUUCUGUUUUGUAUUUAAAGCCCAUCAUAACCUGGCCUCAACUAUCUUCCCAGUUUUAUUUUCCAUUAUUCUUCCCAAAUUCCACAAUCCAGAUAAACUGGCUUUCUACUAUUUCUCACACUCAUUUUAAAAAAGCAAUGAAAAUAUCCAAACAUGGAUAGAAAAUUAAGUUAUGGUGCCAUCUAUUAGAAUAGAACAAAGCUUCAUGUAGAGCUGUGACUGGUCUUCAAGGAAUAAAGACAGAUAAUGAUAAUCAGA